CGGACGGGUGAGUAAUGUCUGGGAAACUAGCCUGAUGGAGGGGGAUAACUACUGGAAACGGUAGCUAAUACCGCAUAACGUCGCAAGACCAAAGAAGGGGGGACCGUUCGGGCCUCUUGCCAUCGGAUGUGCCCAGAUGGGAUUAGCUAGUAGGUGGGGUAACGGCUCACCUAGGCGACGAUCCCUAGCUGGUCUGAGAGGAUGACCAGCCACACUGGAACUGAGACACGGUCCAG
Molecule: ribosomal RNA, 236 nt
Filed under: uncultured bacterium
Lineage: Bacteria
Description: partial 16S ribosomal RNA
Rfam family: Bacterial small subunit ribosomal RNA
Source: RNAcentral